RNAcentral lists this ribosomal RNA (253 nucleotides) under uncultured bacterium. RNAcentral describes it as "partial 16S ribosomal RNA". It matches the Rfam family "Bacterial small subunit ribosomal RNA", at positions 524 to 776 of the family's 1533-position model. The record is from RNAcentral.
UACGUAGGUGGCAAGCGUUGUUCGGAAUUAUUGGGCGUAAAGGGCGCGUAGGCGGUUUGUUAAGUCAGCUGUGAAAGCCCGGGGCUCAACCCCGGAGAGUCGACUGAUACUGGCAGACUAGAGUACGGAAGAGGUAGCUGGAAUUCCCGGUGUAGCGGUGAAAUGCCUAGAUAUCGGGAGGAACACCUGAGGCGAAGGCGGGCUACUGGGCCGAUACUGACGCUGAUGCGCGAAAGCUAGGGGAGCAAACAGG